Non-coding RNA from Schizosaccharomyces pombe (fission yeast), 473 nucleotides. Lineage: Eukaryota; Fungi; Ascomycota; Schizosaccharomycetes; Schizosaccharomycetales; Schizosaccharomycetaceae. The record is from the annotation of a GenBank genome assembly.
UAUACCAAUUUGCGAGCAGCUAUUUUAGCAUUCGUAAAAACGAACUUACACAGUGCGCGACCGAGAAAGACGUUGUAGGUUGUACAGUAUAUAUCAUUUCGGUACAAGGAUGAAUCCUUUAUUUACAAGAUAUAUAUACAUUCGAGGACUACCUGCGCACAGUCAGCAGUAUGAUUGAAAUAUUAUAAAAAUUUACUUGCGUUUCUUGUCUUUUAGGUGCAUGUCGUAGGGCAAAAUUCUCAGAGUAUGAUGACUGUUAGAUUUAUUGCUGCUAUUGACAACAAAAACGUCACGAUCGAUUUAAAAAUUAGUAAAUCAGUAGUCAAAAUACAUGGUUUUUCUUAUUGCUGCGUCAAUCUAUCAUUCAUUGAUAUUUAUUAGCUACAGCUCAUUUCUUUUUAAAAAAUUUACCAUAUAGCGAAUCGCGGGAAAUGAACGUUUAACAUUUUUAACGAAGUUAGCUUCUAAUACAU